Molecule: ribosomal RNA, 292 nt
Filed under: uncultured bacterium
Lineage: Bacteria
Description: partial 16S ribosomal RNA
Source: RNAcentral
GGACUACCCGGGUAUCUAAUCCUGUUUGCUCCCCACGCUUUCGUGCCUGAACGUCGGUGCUGGACCAGGAAGCCGCUUUCGCCACUGGUGUUCCUUCCGAUAUCUACGCAUUUCACCGCUACACCGGAAAUUCCGCUUCCCUCUUCCGCACCCUAGCUAUUCAGUCUCAAAUGCAAUUCCCAGGUUGAGCCCGGGGCUUUCACACCUGACUUAAAUAACCGUCUACGCACGCUUUACGCCCAGUAAUUCCGAUUAACGCUUGCACCCUCUGUAUUACCGCGGCGGCUGGCAC